ACGGCCCAGACUCCUACGGGAGGCAGCAGUGGGGAAUAUUGGACAAUGGGCGAAAGCCUGAUCCAGCCAUGCCGCGUGAGUGAUGAAGGCCUUCGGGUCGUAAAGCUCUGUGGGGAGGGACGAAAAAGCGUGACCUAAUACGUCUCGCCUUGACGGUACCUCCUUAGCAAGCACCGGCUAACUCCGUGCCAGCAGCCGCGGUAAUACGGAGGGUGCAAACGUUGCUCGGAAUUAUUGGGGCGUAAAGCGCACGUAGGCGGUCCGCUAAGUCGGAUGUGAAAGCCCUCGGCUUAACCGAGGAAGUGCAUCCGAAACUGACGGGCUAGAGUACGGAAGAGGGUUUCGGAAUUCCCGGUGUAGAGGUGAAAUUCGUAGAUAUCGGGAGGAACACCAGUGGCGAAGGCGGAAACCUGGGCCGAUACUGACGC
RNAcentral lists this ribosomal RNA (428 nucleotides) under uncultured bacterium. RNAcentral describes it as "bacterial SSU rRNA". It matches the Rfam family "Bacterial small subunit ribosomal RNA", at positions 326 to 746 of the family's 1533-position model. The record is from RNAcentral.